RNAcentral lists this ribosomal RNA (478 nucleotides) under uncultured bacterium. Its description in RNAcentral is "partial 16S ribosomal RNA". It matches the Rfam family "Bacterial small subunit ribosomal RNA", at positions 28 to 523 of the family's 1533-position model. The record is from RNAcentral.
GACGAACGCUGGCGGCGUGCUUAACACAUGCAAGUCGAACGGUAAGGCCCUUCGGGGUACACGAGUGGCGAACGGGUGAGUAACACGUGGGUGAUCUGCCCCGCACUUCGGGAUAAGCCUGGGAAACUGGGUCUAAUACCGGAUAGGACCCUGGGAUGCAUGUCCUGGGGUGGAAAGCUUUUGCGGUGUGGGAUGGGCCCGCGGCCUAUCAGCUUGUUGGUGGGGUGAUGGCCUACCAAGGCGACGACGGGUAGCCGGCCUGAGAGGGUGACCGGCAACAAUGGGACUGAGAUACGGCCCAGACUCCUACGGGAGGCAGCAGUGGGGAAUAUUGCGCAAUGGGCGCAAGCCUGAUGCAGCGACGCCGCGUGAGGGAUGACGGCCUUCGGGUUGUAAACCUCUGUCAGCACCGGCGAAGCGCAAGUGACGGUAGGUGCAGAAGAAGGACCGGCCAACUACGUGCCAGCAGCCGCAGUAA